Long non-coding RNA from Sinocyclocheilus anshuiensis, 159 nucleotides. RefSeq lists it as uncharacterized. Lineage: Eukaryota; Metazoa; Chordata; Actinopteri; Cypriniformes; Cyprinidae. The record is from RefSeq and is a predicted model, not a curated record. The transcript is spliced from 3 exons.
AGAUGAACUAAACAAUUCUCUUUCCGGCUCAGACUGCAUAGGUUAAGCUUAUGGGUUUGUCACGUGAUUAACAAACGACUCGAAAAACCUCAAGACUCGAGUGAUGAACUAAUCAAUUCUCUUUCCAGCUCAGACUGCAUUGGUUAAGCUUAUGGGUCU